Molecule: long non-coding RNA, 309 nt
Organism: Panthera uncia (snow leopard)
Lineage: Eukaryota; Metazoa; Chordata; Mammalia; Carnivora; Felidae
Exons: 3
Source: RefSeq, a predicted model, not a curated record
ACUAAUCAGUGGUGAUUGUGUGCUACAAUUUGCUUAAAAGAUCCAGGGUGAAUAUCAUAGCAUAUGAAAUAGAUGAAGUUUUCUCUCUUAGGAACAUGCUACAGGCUUCAAUUUUAUCAAACACUCCUUACCAGAUCCCUGGAAUCAACCUUUCUAAAUCAGCAGCAAGUGUGAAAUCAUAAGGAUGGUCAUUAGUGAAGACGAACAGAGAGUAGGGACUGCUUGUAAUUGAAAAGGUAAAAAGAUAUGAAAUAGCCAUCACAGACUGAUAAAUUAGAUUGACUCUGAAAAUAUGAAAGCGUUGCUGGG